CGUGUAGGCGGCUCAUCAAGUCUGGUGUGAAAUCGCAGGGCUUAACCCUGCAUAGGCGCUGGAAACUGGUGGGCUUGAGUUCUUGAGGGGAAGCUGGAAUUCCAGGUGUAGGGGUGAAAUCUGUAGAUAUCUGGAAGAACACCGGUGGCGAAGGCGAGCUUCCAUCAGAGGACUGACGCUGAGGCGCGAAAGCGUGGGGAGCAAACAGGAUUAGAUACCCUGGUAGUCCACGCUGUAAACGAUGUGCACUAGGCGUGGGGCACGUACGUGUUCUGUGCCGUAGUUAACGUGAUAAGUGCACCGCCUGGGGAGUAUGCUCGCAAGGGUGAA
Molecule: ribosomal RNA, 330 nt
Filed under: uncultured bacterium
Lineage: Bacteria
Description: bacterial SSU rRNA
Rfam family: Bacterial small subunit ribosomal RNA
Source: RNAcentral